Molecule: ribosomal RNA, 252 nt
Filed under: uncultured bacterium
Lineage: Bacteria
Description: partial 16S ribosomal RNA
Rfam family: Bacterial small subunit ribosomal RNA
Source: RNAcentral
GACGGAGGAUGCAAGUGUUAUCCGGAAUCACUGGGCGUAAAGCGUCUGUAGGUGGUUUAAAAAGUCCACUGUUAAAAAUUGAAGCUUAACUUCAAAGAUGCCGUGGAAACUUUUAAACUUGAGUAUGAUAGGGGUAGAGGGAAUUUCCAGUGGAGCGGUGAAAUGCGUAGAUAUUGGAAAGACCACCAAUGGCGAAGGCACUCUACUGGGCCAUUACUGACACUGAGAGCGAAAGCUAGGGGAGCGAAUGGG